UACGUAGGGUGCGAGCGUUAAUCGGAAUUACUGGGCGUAAAGUGUGCGCAGGCGGCCAAGCAAGUCGAGUGUGAAAGCCCCGGGCUUAACUUGGGAAUUGCGCUCGAAACUACUUUGCUGGAGUGUGGCAGAGGAAGGUGGAAUUCCACGUGUAGCGGUGAAAUGCGUAGAUAUCCGGAGGAACACCGGUGGCGAAGGCGGCUUCCUGGACCGACACUGACGCUGAGGCGCGAAAGCUAGGGGAGCAAACGGG
RNAcentral lists this ribosomal RNA (253 nucleotides) under uncultured bacterium. RNAcentral describes it as "partial 16S ribosomal RNA". It matches the Rfam family "Bacterial small subunit ribosomal RNA", at positions 524 to 776 of the family's 1533-position model. The record is from RNAcentral.